GGAAUAUAAGAACCCGUCUCUUAAUUUUUAACUAAAAAAAUUAAGAAUCGGUUCUUAGUUUUUUUAGUUAAAAGUUAAGAGACGGAUUCUUAUAUUCC
RNAcentral lists this microRNA precursor (98 nucleotides) under Brassica napus (rape). Its description in RNAcentral is "MIR9563 microRNA precursor family". It matches the Rfam family "MIR9563 microRNA precursor family". The record is from Rfam by way of RNAcentral. Lineage: Eukaryota; Viridiplantae; Streptophyta; Magnoliopsida; Brassicales; Brassicaceae.